UGCUUCAAAUUUUUUGUCAAGUCCCAUAAUGGCUUCAAAAAUAGUUUUAUUGGAGAUAUCAUCUUCCUUCUCUGAAGAUUUUGUUCUUUUCUCCUCUGGCGGUUGUUUUGAUGGAGUUGGCGGCGCCGAGUCUGCUCCCCGUUCUCGCUUGUUUAAGCCCACGUUGGCAGCUUCAGUGCUAGCAUAGCCAUGGUCACUGACUUUAGCAUGCGACGACGUCUUAACAUUGGGGUUUGACGGCACAAAUUGCAGCUUUGCAUUCUUAAUAACCUUUUAGACAAAUUGCAUCAAUAUGAUUGUAUUUGGUCCCCCUUUACAAGCUGGCUUUCUGUAACUUGAAGAACAGAGGAGUAAUGACAGAGUGGUGGUGUGGGAAUUGGUGUGCGAAGAAAGAAUAGGAUAACUUCCCUUUGUUUUGUUUUUUGUUGUUGUGUUUUGUUUUUGUUUGUUUGUUUUUAAACUAUUUAUUUAUGUAGUUAUCCUUAAGCUCUGUUAUUGAAGUUUAAAAUGAAAUAAAUAAAAAUUGUUGAUGAUAAAAAAAAGUUUAAACUUCAAAGCUCAUGCAUGCAUGCACAUCCAGUGCUCAGUGUCUAAUUGUGUGUUUGUGUUUUUACCUUUUUGCAGUAGCGCAGUGAAACAUUUGGGCGGUGGAUAAAUAAUGGAAAAUAAAAUUCAGACUACAGACGGCUUCAGGUGAGUACACGUGGUGCACAAGGACCAAAGCUCACCUUCUCAACCUGGACAAAAUGAAUUAUUUUACACUGAUACUGUAAACUUUUGUUUGUGUGUCAGGUUUCCAUACAUCGGAAGCAGCUGCUGCAUCUGUAAUUCUGUCCGUCCCGAGGAGAGUCCACACUCUACAUCCUUGGCUCACCUAUAAUGACGCACAGGUGCUGCACACAACUGGAUCUGCAGCUUGUGAGGAACAGCAGCACUCAGCCUACAUCCUGUUUUACAAGAUUAACACACCCUUCAGUUUCAUCAUGUCAUCCCUAACAAUACAAUGUAGAGUUGGAUGGAGGAUGAAGACAGCAGAGAGCAAAAGAAACAGUUGAACUUUUGCAAAGCUGAGGAGAUUUUGGCUGCGAUCACAUCAAGUCCAAAGAUGUUUAAACUUCUUUUUCACAGAAAGAAAUCACACAAACAAAACGUGGCAGAGAAGGAAAUUCCUUCUACGUCUCAUCAGAGCAUCCCGGAUGCUUGUGUUGCUGAAAAUGGUCAAAAGAAGAAGAGAAAAUGGA
Astatotilapia calliptera (eastern happy) is the source of this 1241-nucleotide long non-coding RNA. NCBI's taxonomy places the organism in Eukaryota, Metazoa, Chordata, Actinopteri, Cichliformes, Cichlidae. The record is from Ensembl.